GGGGUGUGGCUCAGUUGGCUAGAGCAUCUGCCUUGCAAGCAGAGGGUCAGCGGUUCGAAUCCGCUCAUCUCC
This 72-nucleotide transfer RNA is filed under the name chicken gut metagenome. It matches the Rfam family "tRNA". From Rfam's summary of the family: Transfer RNA (tRNA) molecules are approximately 80 nucleotides in length. Their secondary structure includes four short double-helical elements and three loops (D, anti-codon, and T loops). The record is from RNAcentral.